GAUGAACGCUGGCGGCGUGCUUAACACAUGCAAGUCGAACGAGAAGUGGAGACGGAAACCUUCGGGCGGAAGACUUUACUCCGAUGGGCGGCCGGGGGAUUAACCCGUGGUUAACCUGCCUCAACCAGGGGGAUAACGGUUGAAAACGACUGUAAAUACCGCAUAGGACAACACAACCCCAUGGUGCGGGGUUAAAAACUCCGGUGGAAUGAGAUGGACCCGCGUUGGAUUAGCCAGUUGGCGGGGUAACGGCCCACCAAAGCGACGAUCGAUAGCCGAUCUGAGAGGAUGACCGGCCACACUGGGACUGAGACACGGCCCAAACUCCUACGGGAGGCAGCAGUGGGGAAUAUUGCACAAUGGGGGAAACCCUGAUGCAGCGACGCCGCGUGAGUGAAGAAGUAUUUCGGUAUGUAAAGCUCUAUCAGCAGGGAAGAAAAUGACAGUACCUGAGUAAGAAGCCCCGGCUAACUACGUG
Molecule: ribosomal RNA, 478 nt
Filed under: uncultured bacterium
Lineage: Bacteria
Description: partial 16S ribosomal RNA
Rfam family: Bacterial small subunit ribosomal RNA
Source: RNAcentral